UACGUAGGGGGCAAGCGUUGUCCGGAAUUAUUGGGCGUAAAGAGCGUGUAGGCGGUCCGGUAAGUCAGCUGUGAAAGUCAAGGGCUCAACCCUUGAAUGCCGGUUGAUACUGUCGGGCUAGAGUCCGGAAGAGGCGAGUGGAAUUCCCGGUGUAGCGGUGAAAUGCGCAGAUAUCGGGAGGAACACCCGUGGCGAAAGCGGCUCUCUGGGACGGUACUGACGCUGAGACGCGAAAGCGUGGGGAGCAAACAGG
Molecule: ribosomal RNA, 253 nt
Filed under: uncultured bacterium
Lineage: Bacteria
Description: partial 16S ribosomal RNA
Rfam family: Bacterial small subunit ribosomal RNA
Source: RNAcentral